Long non-coding RNA from Cyprinus carpio (common carp), 868 nucleotides. Lineage: Eukaryota; Metazoa; Chordata; Actinopteri; Cypriniformes; Cyprinidae. The record is from Ensembl.
CAAAACACACAAUUACCAGCUAAAGAUGGUCUCUCAGAUGUUGUCCUCUAAAUUCUUAAUUUUCUUUUCUCAGGUAAGCACUUGAAAAGUUUCUCUUCUGACUGACAUGGAAAAGUGGGAUAGAUCUCGGAGAAGCGUUGACGUUCCCAUCCAGAAGAAUUCCAGCACCCCCUAAUGUCACAAUGGAGUUACUGAAGUGCUCAACUCUCAACAGCACAACCGUUUAAAAGCAAAAACAGCCAAGAGUUACUUGCAUUUCCAAACUCUGGUGGAAGCUGAGAGGAACAAUGUUACAGCAAAAGAAUGGGCUGAAAUAUUUUUAAACAGUAAUUACCUGGCCGGGAUCCGACAGAGGGGGAUUAAUGGAGGAACGCGGAGCAUCAGGUUCCAGAGAUGUGUGCUGGAAGGUACGAUGAGGGAGAGACGCGCUUCUCCGUCACACACGGGAAAUGAGGAAACGGCAGAUUUCUGAUGUCGAGCUGUUUCUCUGUUCUUUUCCACCAGCACAAGUCAUCAGCUCACGCCAAGCCCUUCACAAACUAACAGGAGCUAUUUAGUCUUUUAAAUCAAGUCUGGGAGAUGUUUCAGGAUUUGCCUUUUUCUUCGUUUAACCCUUUGUUUUUUUUUUGUUUUUGUCGUGGUUAAAGUAACUGUAUUUGGUGCUAGUUAACUCUCAUAGUACAUUUUUAUAAACCAGACAUCUGGACUUUAUUUUUCUUGGAGUGAUGAUCUACAGUACAUUGACUUUCACUAGUUAGUUGCAAAAGGCAAGCAGCUACUUAUGAGGUCUUGCUCAGGUUGACUGAAUAUUAUGGAAGACCAUUUCCAACACUGAAUAAAAAAAUUAUGAUUGAAACUUUUUAUCUCA